Molecule: ribosomal RNA, 331 nt
Filed under: uncultured bacterium
Lineage: Bacteria
Description: bacterial SSU rRNA
Rfam family: Bacterial small subunit ribosomal RNA
Source: RNAcentral
AGUGUAGGUGGCAUUGUAAGUUAAAUGUGAAAUCCCACGGCUUAACCGUGGAACUGCAUUUAAAACUGCAAAGCUUGAGUGCGGAAGAGGUAGAUGGAAUGGGUAGUGUAGCGGUGGAAUGCGUUGAUAUUACCUGGAACACCAGAGGCGAAGGCGAUCUACUGGGACGUAACUGACACUGAAACUCGAAAGCGUGGGGAGCAAACAGGAUUAGAUACCCUGGUAGUCCACGCCCUAAACGAUGGAUAUUAGACGAGGGAGGUAUCGACUCCUCCCGUGUCGUAGCUAACGCGUUAAAUAUCCCGCCUGGGAGUACGGCCGCAAGGUUGAA